AAGUCGUAACAAGGUUUCCGUAGGUGAACCUGCGGAAGGAUCAUUACCGAAAGCGCUGUGCUUCACUGUGCACCUUCUUGUAGUAGACCAUUCAAUCGUCUGCUGCCAUCAGAAUUCGAUGGGAAUCUCGGAUGCUGUUGUGGGCGGGCCUUUGGUCUCCUACGUCUUCUUUUUUUUCACCACACAAAACCUGUCAUUGUAGGGUGUUGCACUCGAACACAUAUAAUAUAACUUUCAACAACGGAUCUCUUGGCUCUC
RNAcentral lists this unclassified non-coding RNA (258 nucleotides) under fungal sp. RNAcentral's name for it is "partial internal transcribed spacer region". The stretch from base 1 to 46 matches the Rfam family "Eukaryotic small subunit ribosomal RNA", at positions 1786 to 1831 of the family's 1831-position model. Lineage: Eukaryota; Fungi. The record is from RNAcentral. RNAcentral also lists the same sequence under 2 other names.